UCCUCGGUUAAGUCUAGGACAGAGAAAUACUUCUCUAUCUGUAGGAUCCAAGCAUUGACUACUAAGGGGUCAGGACCACUUUCAAAGUGUGGUGGCUUAAUCUUCAUAAACUCCAGUAUGUUGUGAGAGAUAGACCUUUUGAUUGUUCGAUAUUCCAGGGCAAGGUGCUAACAAAGGUUGUCGUGAUUCUAUUCUACUACUGCGGUUAGUCUUUAGAUAACUCAGAAGAGUAAACUUGGCCCUGGUUGGAUGGUCUUGGGCCUUGGGCCUUGGGUCUUUCGAUACGUUCUAUAGAAGGCUCUCUCGCAU
Molecule: long non-coding RNA, 309 nt
Filed under: Carica papaya (papaya)
Lineage: Eukaryota; Viridiplantae; Streptophyta; Magnoliopsida; Brassicales; Caricaceae
Description: long non-coding RNA (CPAP_LNC016442)
Source: RNAcentral